RNAcentral lists this ribosomal RNA (592 nucleotides) under uncultured Gammaproteobacteria bacterium. RNAcentral's name for it is "bacterial SSU rRNA". It matches the Rfam family "Bacterial small subunit ribosomal RNA", at positions 8 to 597 of the family's 1533-position model. The record is from RNAcentral. Lineage: Bacteria; Pseudomonadati; Pseudomonadota; Gammaproteobacteria.
AGAGUUUGAUCAUGGCUCAGAUUGAACGCUGGCGGCAGGCCUAACACAUGCAAGUCGAACGGUAACAGGAAGUGCUUGCACUUCGCUGACGAGUGGCGGACGGGUGAGUAAUGCUUGGGAACUUGCCUUUGCGAGGGGGAUAACAGUUGGAAACGACUGCUAAUACCGCAUAAUGUUUACGGACCAAAGGGGGCUUAGGCUCUCGCGCAAAGAGAGGCCCAAGUGAGAUUAGCUAGUUGGUGAGGUAAAGGCUCACCAAGGCGACGAUCUCUAGCUGUUCUGAGAGGAAGAUCAGCCACACUGGGACUGAGACACGGCCCAGACUCCUACGGGAGGCAGCAGUGGGGAAUAUUGCACAAUGGGGGGAACCCUGAUGCAGCCAUGCCGCGUGUGUGAAGAAGGCCUUCGGGUUGUAAAGCACUUUCAGUUGUGAGGAAAGGUUGGUAGUUAAUACCUGCCAGCUGUGACGUUAACAACAGAAGAAGCACCGGCUAACUCCGUGCCAGCAGCCGCGGUAAUACGGAGGGUGCGAGCGUUAAUCGGAAUUACUGGGCGUAAAGCGCACGCAGGCGGUCUGUUAAGCUAGAUGUGA